Homo sapiens (human) is the source of this 313-nucleotide non-coding RNA. NCBI's taxonomy places the organism in Eukaryota, Metazoa, Chordata, Mammalia, Primates, Hominidae. The record is from the annotation of a RefSeq genome assembly.
GUGUCCUGUCCCAGGUGCAGCUGCAGGAGUCAGGUCCAGGACCCAUGAGGCCCUCAGACACUGCCCUCUGCCUGUGCUGUGUCUGGAUUCUUUUUUUUACCAUGGAUAUUAUUUGAGAUGAAUCCACCAUCCCGUGGGCAACAGGCUGGAAUGGCUGGGGCACAGUUACUAGACUGGAUCAUCAAGGAAUACACAUCAUGCACCCUCCACCCAGGUCCAUGUCCCCAUCAACAGUGACUCAACCAAGAGCCAGUUCUCUGUGAAGCUCAGCUCCAUGACCACCUAGGACACGGCUGAGUAUUACUGUGAAAGA